UUCAUCAAUAAUUAUGCAGAAUGUCAUGGUGAUGGUGCUGCUUUUUUGCAUCUCAUCUGAACCUUUACUAGAGCUUCCUGAAGGGGGUUGGAUUACCUUGCUUGCCUUUUCCAUGGAAGGACAUCAGCCAGCACAUUCUCUGGCACCAGGAAUUUGAGACCUCUCGAUUUUCCUCCCGUCACUCUGAGAUUCCCAGGGCCCCACUGGUCCGCUGGAGAGAAUAGGCCUGGCUCUCUGAGGGCCCAAAGGAUGCCUUGCCACUUUCCAUUAGCCAGAGAUGGCGCUGGGCACCGGCCCACUGUCCAGGCCCUUCCUCUGUAUUCCUCUUCUUCCUCGCCACCCUCCCCCUCCUCCCCCCCGUCGUCCUACCCUUCUUCCGUGCCUCUUCCCCCUUCCUCCCUUCGCUCCUCCCUCCCUCCUUCCCCACGAUCCGGCGGCCGGGGCGCGGGCCGGGCGCGCGCUGGGUGGUCCGGCGGCCGGGGGCGGGCGGUAGCCUGCAGGCGUAAUUGGCAUGCACGCCGUUGUAGCUG
This is a non-coding RNA of Kogia breviceps (pygmy sperm whale), 530 nucleotides long. NCBI's taxonomy places the organism in Eukaryota, Metazoa, Chordata, Mammalia, Artiodactyla, Physeteridae. The record is from RefSeq and is a predicted model, not a curated record.